UACGGAGGGUGCAAGCGUUAAUCGGAAUUACUGGGCGUAAAGCGCGCGUAGGCGGUUCGGUAAGUUGGAUGUGAAAGCCCAGGGCUCAACCUUGGAACUGCAUUCAAAACUGCCAGGCUAGAGUACGGUAGAGGGGGGUAGAAUUCCACGUGUAGCGGUGAAAUGCGUAGAGAUGUGGAGGAAUACCAGUGGCGAAGGCGGCCCCCUGGAUCGAUACUGACGCUGAGGUGCGAAAGCGUGGGGAGCAAACAGG
RNAcentral lists this ribosomal RNA (253 nucleotides) under uncultured Pseudohongiella sp. Its description in RNAcentral is "partial 16S ribosomal RNA". It matches the Rfam family "Bacterial small subunit ribosomal RNA", at positions 524 to 776 of the family's 1533-position model. Lineage: Bacteria; Pseudomonadati; Pseudomonadota; Gammaproteobacteria; Pseudomonadales; Pseudohongiellaceae. The record is from RNAcentral.